UGACCCCACCUGUGUACUCCGUAUCCAGAUCAGGACGCAGAAGGUGAUCAGCAUGCAAGAAACUAGCCGAGCUCAGUCCCAACCCUGUCCUGCCCACCCACCCACUAUGGAUCACCUCUCAAAUAAACCCCUUGCCUUUGGAUCCUCUUCUGGGAGUCUUUUUCUGAUGGAAACCAAAAUAGGGAGCAAACCCGCCUGAGAAUGAAGCCAACACAAAAAGUUAAAAAUCCGAGGGACAGAGUUUCUUAAUAAUAUCACAGGUGCAUCUGGAUCCGGACAAGCCUGAAGCCACAAACUCCUGGACUUUUCGGGCUGGGUGAAGGAGGGAGCGGAACUGGAGCUAUCCCAGCAUCAGGUGCAAAAGAAAUGCAGGAAGGAUUCCUGCUGGGGAGGAAGAAGGCGCU
Molecule: long non-coding RNA, 404 nt
Organism: Phacochoerus africanus (Common warthog)
Lineage: Eukaryota; Metazoa; Chordata; Mammalia; Artiodactyla; Suidae
Exons: 4
Source: RefSeq, a predicted model, not a curated record